This is a long non-coding RNA of Phyllostomus discolor (pale spear-nosed bat), 304 nucleotides long. RefSeq lists it as uncharacterized. The transcript is spliced from 2 exons. Lineage: Eukaryota; Metazoa; Chordata; Mammalia; Chiroptera; Phyllostomidae. The record is from RefSeq and is a predicted model, not a curated record.
CUCCACGUGUCCCAUCCCCCAGUCCAGACUUGUGGGGGUGAGGAUAUCCUAUAUUUUAUAUUUUCUGGACACCCAGAGUUCUGGACCCUGCUUCUAAUUGGGGGCCCCUGGCUGUACCCUGUUACAAUAAGCCACAUCCCGGGGGCAGUAGCCUUUAUGGAACUACUCCAGAUACAAGUCAGCAAACAUGGACAAGUGACUACAGCAACAGCCUGGGGGAAGAGAAGGGUUGGUAUACAAGUUGCUACAAUGUUCCACCUAAAAUGUCCAGUAUUCAACAAAAAGUUAUAUAGAUAGGGAGAGA